UAGGGUUGAGGAGUUUAUUGUGUUUGGGGGAGAAGUUUACUGUGUUUGGGGAAGAAUUUAUUGUGUUUAGGGGCAGAGUUUAUUGUGUUUAGGGUUGAGGAGUUUAUUGUGUUUAGGGAGAGGAGUUUUUUGUGUUUAGGGGCAGAGUUUAUUUUGUUUAGGGUUGAGGAGUUUAUUGUGUUUAGGGGCAGAGUUUAUCGUGUUUAGUUUUGAGGAGUUUAUUGUGUUUAGGGAGAGGAGUUUAUUGUGUUUGGGGGAGGAGAGUUUAUUGUGUUUAGGGGCAGAGUUUAUUGUGUGAGGGAGGAGGGUGUAUUGUGUUUAGGGAGAGGAGUUUAUUGUGUUUAGGUUUGAGGAGUUUAUUGUGCUUGGGG
Anguilla rostrata (American eel) is the source of this 371-nucleotide long non-coding RNA. RefSeq lists it as uncharacterized. The transcript is spliced from 3 exons. Lineage: Eukaryota; Metazoa; Chordata; Actinopteri; Anguilliformes; Anguillidae. The record is from RefSeq and is a predicted model, not a curated record.